UCACGCAUUUUAUUCCUGAUGAAAUGCUCAAUCAUUUGAUUCAUGGCGUAAGUGAUCUAGCUGAUUGGAGCUCUCACAAUGGUCUCAAUGACAAGAUAUUCAACACUCCUUCUGGUGGUGUGUAGCAGGCAAAAUGACGAUUUAAAAUGGCAGUGACUCCGGAAGUGAAGAGGACACAAUGUCGAAGUCUGUUUCACGGCGUCUGCGCCUAGAGACGCGAGUAAAGCUUCUAGAAAGACUGCUGCUUUUAAUGUUUUCUCA
Long non-coding RNA from Selaginella moellendorffii, 261 nucleotides. RefSeq lists it as uncharacterized. NCBI's taxonomy places the organism in Eukaryota, Viridiplantae, Streptophyta, Lycopodiopsida, Selaginellales, Selaginellaceae. The record is from RefSeq and is a predicted model, not a curated record. The transcript has 4 exons.